AUACGAAGGGGGCUAGCGUUGUUCGGAAUCACUGGGCGUAAAGCGCACGUAGGUGGACUAAUUAGUUGAGGGUGAAAUCCCGGGGCUUAACCUCGGAACUGCCUUCAAUACUGUUAGUCUUGAGUCCGAGAGAGGUGAGUGGAAUUCCUAGUGUAGAGGUGAAAUUCGUAGAUAUUAGGAAGAACACCAGUGGCGAAGGCGGCUCACUGGCUCGGUACUGACGCUGAGGUGCGAAAGCGUGGGGAGCAAACAGGAUUAGAAACCCUAGUAGUCC
RNAcentral lists this ribosomal RNA (274 nucleotides) under uncultured bacterium. RNAcentral's name for it is "partial 16S ribosomal RNA". It matches the Rfam family "Bacterial small subunit ribosomal RNA", at positions 523 to 796 of the family's 1533-position model. The record is from RNAcentral.